AUUGGAGGGCRAGUCUGGUGCCAGCAGCCGCGGUAAUUCCAGCUCCAAUAGCGUAUAUUAAAGUUGUUGCGGUUAAAAAGCUCGUAGUUGAAUCUGUGUGCCACGCUGUCGGUUCACCGCUCGCGGUGUUUAACUGGCAUGAUUGUGGGACGUCCUACCGGUGGGCUUACGUUCGUGCAAACGGAUGCGGUCCAACUAAUAUCCCAUCGCGGUGCUCUUCAUCGAGUGUCGAGGAGGGCCGGUACGUUUACUUUG
RNAcentral lists this ribosomal RNA (255 nucleotides) under Trachypetus clavatus. RNAcentral describes it as "partial 18S small subunit ribosomal RNA". The record is from RNAcentral. Lineage: Eukaryota; Metazoa; Arthropoda; Insecta; Hymenoptera; Trachypetidae.